This 305-nucleotide ribosomal RNA is filed under the name uncultured Pseudomonadota bacterium. RNAcentral describes it as "bacterial SSU rRNA". It matches the Rfam family "Bacterial small subunit ribosomal RNA", at positions 29 to 351 of the family's 1533-position model. The record is from RNAcentral. Lineage: Bacteria; Pseudomonadati; Pseudomonadota.
AACGAACGCUGGCGGCAGGCCUAACACAUGCAAGUCGAACGAGAAGCCACCUUCGGGUGGUGGACAGUGGCAGACGGGUGAGUAACGCGUGGGAACGUGCCUUUCGGUUCGGAAUAACCCAGGGAAACUUGAGCUAAUACCGGAUACGUCCGCAAGGAGAAAGAUUUAUCGCCGAAGGAUUGGCCCGCGUCUGAUUAGCUUGUUGGUGAGGUAAUGGCUCACCAAGGCGACGAUCAGUAGCUGGUCUGAGAGGAUGAUCAGCCACAUUGGGACUGAGACACGGCCCAAACUCCUACGGGAGGCAG